RNAcentral lists this ribosomal RNA (253 nucleotides) under uncultured bacterium. Its description in RNAcentral is "partial 16S ribosomal RNA". It matches the Rfam family "Bacterial small subunit ribosomal RNA", at positions 524 to 776 of the family's 1533-position model. The record is from RNAcentral.
UACGGAGGGGGCUAGCGUUGUUCGGAAUUACUGGGCGUAAAGCGCGCGUAGGCGGACCUGCAAGUCCGCCGUCAAAUCCCAGGGCUCAACCCUGGACAGGCGGUGGAAACUACCAAGCUGGAGUACGGUAGGGGCAGAGGGAAUUUCCGGUGGAGCGGUGAAAUGCGUAGAGAUGUGGAGGAACACCGAUGGCGAAGGCAGCCUUCUGGGCCAACACUGACGCUCAUGCACGAAAGCGUGGGGAGCAAACAGG